Molecule: ribosomal RNA, 274 nt
Filed under: uncultured bacterium
Lineage: Bacteria
Description: partial 16S ribosomal RNA
Rfam family: Bacterial small subunit ribosomal RNA
Source: RNAcentral
AUACGGAGGGUGCAAACGUUGCUCGGAAUUACUGGGCGUAAAGGAUGGCUAGGUGGUCUCGUUUGUCGGAGGUGAAAUCCCUGGGCUUAACCCAGGAAGUGCCUUGGAAACGGCGAGACUGGAGUUCUGGAGAGGGUUGUGGAAUUACCGGUGUAGCGGUGAAAUGCGUAGAGAUCGGGAGGAACACCAGAGGCGAAGGCGGCAACCUGGACAGAUACUGACACUCAACCACGAAAGCAUGGGUAGCAAACAGGAUUAGAAACCCCGGUAGUCC